CUACGGGACGCUCCAGUGAGGAAUAUUGCACAAUGGAGGAAACUCUGAUGCAGCAACGCCGCGUGGAGGAUGACGCAUUUCGGUGUGUAAACUCCUUUUAUAUGUCAAGAAAAUGACGGUAGCAUAUGAAUAAGCACCGGCUAACUCCGUGCCAGCAGCCGCGGUAAUACGGAGGGUGCAAGCGUUACUCGGAAUCACUGGGCGUAAAGGACGCGUAGGCGGGUUGGAAAGUCAGGUGUGAAAUCCUACAGCUUAACUGUAGAACUGCACUUGAAACUUCUAAUCUAGAGUAUGGGAGGGGGAGAUGGAAUUAGUGGUGUAGGGGUAAAAUCCGUAGAUAUCACUAGGAAUACCUAAAGCGAAGGCGAUCUCCUGGAACAUUACUGACGCUAAGGCGUGAAAGCGUGGGGAGCAAACAGGAUUAGAUACCCCGGUAGUC
Molecule: ribosomal RNA, 439 nt
Filed under: uncultured bacterium
Lineage: Bacteria
Description: partial 16S ribosomal RNA
Rfam family: Bacterial small subunit ribosomal RNA
Source: RNAcentral